RNAcentral lists this ribosomal RNA (496 nucleotides) under uncultured bacterium. Its description in RNAcentral is "partial 16S ribosomal RNA". It matches the Rfam family "Bacterial small subunit ribosomal RNA", at positions 28 to 506 of the family's 1533-position model. The record is from RNAcentral.
GAUGAACGCUGGCGGCGUGCCUAAUACAUGCAAGUCGAGCGAACGGACGAGAAGCUUGCUUCUCUGAUGUUAGCGGCGGACGGGUGAGUAACACGUGGAUAACCUACCUAUAAGACUGGGAUAACUUCGGGAAACCGGAGCUAAUACCGGAUGAUAUUUUGAACCGCAUGGUUCAAAAGUGAAAGACGGUCUUGCUGUCACUUAUAGAUGGAUCCGCGCUGCAUUAGCUAGUUGGUAAGGUAACGGCUUACCAAGGCAACGAUGCAUAGCCGACCUGAGAGGGGGAAGGCCCAACCUGGAACGGGAACAGGGUCCAAAUCCCUAGGGGGGGCAGAAGUAGGGAACUUUCCCAAAGGGGGAAAAGCUGAAGGGGAAAACGCCGGGUGGGGGAUGAAGGUUUCGGGAUAGAAAAACUUUUUUAUUAGGGAAAAAAAAUUGUGAAAGAAAAUGGGAACAUUUUGACGGUACCUAAUCAAAAAACAACGGCUAACUACGU